RNAcentral lists this ribosomal RNA (387 nucleotides) under Pyramimonadales sp. RNAcentral's name for it is "partial small subunit ribosomal RNA". It matches the Rfam family "Eukaryotic small subunit ribosomal RNA", at positions 582 to 975 of the family's 1831-position model. Lineage: Eukaryota; Viridiplantae; Chlorophyta; Pyramimonadophyceae; Pyramimonadales. The record is from RNAcentral.
AUUCCAGCUCCAAUAGCGUAUAUUUAAGUUGUUGCAGUUAAAAAGCUCGUAGUUGGAUUUCGGAUGGGUUUGACCGGUCCGCCUUUGGUGUGCACUGGUCGCGCCUAUCUUGCUGUCGGGGACGCGCUCCUGGCCUUAAUUGGCUGGGACGCGGAGUCGGCGAUGUUACUUUGAAAAAAUUAGAGUGUUCAAAGCAGGCCUAAGCUCUGAAUACAUUAGCAUGGAAUAACGCUAUAGGACUCUGGUCUUAUUGCGUUGGUCUUCGAGACCGGAGUAAUGAUUAAGAGGGACAGUUGGGGGCAUUAGUAUUUAUUAGCUAGAGGUGGAAUUCUCUAAUUUGAUAAAGACUAACUUAUGCGAGAGCAUUUGCCAAGGAUGUUUUCAUUG